AUCCUGAAUUCCUGGACUCACGUGAUCCUGUCACCUCAGCCUCCCAAAGUGCUAGGAUUACAGGUGUGAGCCACUGUGCCCAGCCCGAGAUGCUGUGUUUCAGAGGCAGGGGGGCAAGAGGAAAGGAGUCUAGACAGGUUUGCGAAAGCCAGGAGGAGAACCGCACAGGUGGUGCCACCAUGAAGGCCCAGCUCAGCAUCUUGCACGCAGCAGGCUCUCUGUAGGACUCGCUGAUUAAUUAGCCCCUAGGUAAGUUUCUUGCUCCAACUCUCCACUGACUGAAGCUAGGCUCUGAUAUUGAGUGGAGGGAAUGUGGGAGAG
RNAcentral lists this long non-coding RNA (321 nucleotides) under Homo sapiens (human). RNAcentral describes it as "non-protein coding lnc-SCGB2B2-134:1". The record is from RNAcentral. Lineage: Eukaryota; Metazoa; Chordata; Mammalia; Primates; Hominidae.